Quercus robur (English oak) is the source of this 589-nucleotide long non-coding RNA. RefSeq lists it as uncharacterized. Lineage: Eukaryota; Viridiplantae; Streptophyta; Magnoliopsida; Fagales; Fagaceae. The record is from RefSeq and is a predicted model, not a curated record. The transcript is spliced from 3 exons.
CAAGAAUUAAUAAGGACAGUUGAUCUUGGUCCUUUCACGCACAUUGUGGAUGAUGGAUUUGAGUUGAGAAAGGUUGCUUUUGAAUGUGUGGACACAUUGCUUGAUAGUUGUCUUGACCAAGUGAAUCCUUCCAUCUUUUAUUGUUCCAUACCUGAAAUCCAGUCUGGAUGAUCAUUAUGAUGUCAAAAUGCCUCACCACCUUAUCCUUUCAAAACUUGCGGAUUAGUGUCCAUCUGCUGUAUUGGCAGUGUUGGAUUCAUUGGUGGAUCCUCUGCCGAAGACUAUUAAUUUUAAGCCAAAGCAAGAUGCUGUCAAGCAAGAAGUAGAUCAUAAUGAAGACAUGAUCCGCAGUGCUCUAAGAGCAAUUGCAUCAUUGAAUCGCAUAAGGUUUAGUUAUUUUCUUUAUCGGGCCCUUUUUUUUGGUGUCGUCCUAUUUGUUGUGUUGUUUCUUGCCCAUUCCUAAUUUUUCAGGUAGUUUAACCCCCUAUUACUGUCCUUUAUUUUGAAGAUUGGGAGUGGUCAUAUAGGCCGUGUGAACUAGCCUCUUGUUCAGACUCGGCUUUGUGGGCCAAAAUUCUGAUCCUGAGGA